GCUGAGGAUGUAGCUCAGUGGUUAAGUGCUUGCCUGGUAUGUAGGUGGCCCUGGGUUCAAUUACCAGCAAAGCA
This 74-nucleotide transfer RNA is filed under the name Marmota monax (woodchuck). RNAcentral describes it as "tRNA.Thr". The record is from RNAcentral. Lineage: Eukaryota; Metazoa; Chordata; Mammalia; Rodentia; Sciuridae.